GAAAACUGAGUUUGUGAAGGGGUAGACAUACAGCUACACAGUUACUCACCUGGCAUUUCAGAAGGCUGGUUGCAGUUUUCCAAGAACAAAUCCCAAGAAGUUUCAUGGUGAAAUAAACAGAAAUCUGCAAGUAAUACUUUGCCCUCCACUUGUCUCUCGAAUGGCGCCUGCUACUGCAUCAAAAGAAUGGAGGCCGCCAGGCAGCUUCCUGCAGCUCCUGCCUCCCAUUCACGCAGUCCUUCUGCCCACGUGGAAGGGAGCCACACAGCCACUUCUCCUUUGUCUGACCUCUGUGCAUCAUCCCCCAGUUCAAUGGCUAUUUAAAGAAGGAGAUGCUAGCGGGAACAUAAACCUCUUACAUUAAAAUUCGCCUCUUGCUUCUCC
Molecule: RNA transcript, 384 nt
Organism: Callorhinus ursinus (northern fur seal)
Lineage: Eukaryota; Metazoa; Chordata; Mammalia; Carnivora; Otariidae
Gene: ADORA3
Gene name: adenosine A3 receptor
Source: RefSeq, a predicted model, not a curated record